This 403-nucleotide ribosomal RNA is filed under the name uncultured bacterium. RNAcentral's name for it is "partial 16S ribosomal RNA". It matches the Rfam family "Bacterial small subunit ribosomal RNA", at positions 30 to 526 of the family's 1533-position model. The record is from RNAcentral.
AUUGAUCGCUGGCGGCAGGCCUAACACAUGCAAGUCGAGCGAGCGGCGGACGGGCGAGUAAUGUAUGGGGACUGCCCGAUAGAGGGGGAUCACUACUGGAAACGGUGGCUAAUACCGCAUUCUAUCGGUUAACCCAUAUGGGAUUAGCUAGUAGGUGGGGUAAAGGCUCACCUAGGCGACGAUCUCUCGCUGGGCUGAGAGGAUGAUCAGCCACACGUGGACUGCGACGGGGCCCAGACGCCUACGGAGGCAGCAGUGGGGAAUCUUGCACAAUGGGCGCAAGCCUGAUGCAGCCAUGCCGCGGGUAUGAAGAAGGCCUUAGGGUUGUAAGGUACUUUCAGCUGGGAGGCGUUACCCGCAGAAGAAGCACCGGCUAACUCCGUGCCAGCAGCCGCGGUAAUAC